This 600-nucleotide ribosomal RNA is filed under the name Bacillus sp. 43NM FL04. RNAcentral's name for it is "bacterial SSU rRNA". It matches the Rfam family "Bacterial small subunit ribosomal RNA", at positions 45 to 628 of the family's 1533-position model. The record is from RNAcentral. Lineage: Bacteria; Bacillati; Bacillota; Bacilli; Caryophanales; Bacillaceae.
UGCUAUACAUGCAAGUCGAGCGGAUUGAUGGGAGCUUGCUCCCUGAUAUCAGCGGCGGACGGGUGAGUAACACGUGGGUAACCUGCCUGUAAGACUGGGAUAACUCCGGGAAACCGGGGCUAAUACCGGAUAACUCAUUUCCUCGCAUGAGGAAAUGUUGAAAGGUGGCUUUUCGCUACCACUUACAGAUGGACCCGCGGCGCAUUAGCUAGUUGGUGAGGUAACGGCUCACCAAGGCAACGAUGCGUAGCCGACCUGAGAGGGUGAUCGGCCACACUGGGACUGAGACACGGCCCAGACUCCUACGGGAGGCAGCAGUAGGGAAUCUUCCGCAAUGGACGAAAGUCUGACGGAGCAACGCCGCGUGAGUGAUGAAGGUUUUCGGAUCGUAAAGCUCUGUUGUUAGGGAAGAACAAGUGCCGUUCGAACAGGGCGGCACCUUGACGGUACCUAACCAGAAAGCCACGGCUAACUACGUGCCAGCAGCCGCGGUAAUACGUAGGUGGCAAGCGUUGUCCGGAAUUAUUGGGCGUAAAGCGCGCGCAGGUGGUUUCUUAAGUCUGAUGUGAAAGCCCACGGCUCAACCGUGGAGGGUCAUUG